AGGUCAGCAUACUGCCGUGAAUACGUUCCCGGGCCCUUGUACACACCGCCCGUCCACACCAUGAGAGUUGGGAAUACCCGAAGCCUGUGAGCUAACUUUUAGAGGCAGCAGUCGAAGGUAGAAUCAAUGAUUGGGUGAAGUCGUAACAAGGUACC
RNAcentral lists this ribosomal RNA (155 nucleotides) under uncultured bacterium. RNAcentral describes it as "partial 16S ribosomal RNA". It matches the Rfam family "Bacterial small subunit ribosomal RNA", at positions 1346 to 1500 of the family's 1533-position model. The record is from RNAcentral.